Molecule: long non-coding RNA, 1417 nt
Organism: Olea europaea var. sylvestris
Lineage: Eukaryota; Viridiplantae; Streptophyta; Magnoliopsida; Lamiales; Oleaceae
Exons: 3
Source: RefSeq, a predicted model, not a curated record
ACGUGUACAGGUAUCUAACAUUUUCAUUUCCUCCAACUGCCCCUCUCACUGACACAACUCUCUCUCCCACUACCAUCCCCGCUUCCCUCAAACUGCCACUCCCACCGACUAUAGUUUCUCCCUCCUUUCGGCCGAAACGGGCAACCUCACCAACAACAGUUUCUCUACCUUACACACAGGCCCCGUGAACAUUUGUGACGCUCGCCGCAACCACGAUUGAGGGAAAGGGCCUCAACGUUAACCUCUACGAUCGAAUCUGUAGCCUGUACAAGAUAUUCGGCACCGAUCUUCUCCACCAACCGAACAUGGAUCCCGCUGAAAGUUAGUCGGGCGCGAGCCGACAACGCUUGUCCAACACCGCUACCGAACCGUAAGGGGAUCUAGCUCGAAAACCUAUGCGCGUUGGAUCCCGGACAUGAAUUGGGCCUUCAUGACUGCCUGCGAAACAACCAUAGUGGAGGGACACUAGAACAGCAGGUGUUUCACAAAACACAGUUGAGAACGUGUGUCCGCCCUCUUCAACUCCGUCAUCGGGCACAGCUGGAGCAAGCAGCAGUUGCGAAACUAUUGGGACGGAAUGCGACGAACCCACAAACAUCUGUCGGAGCUUGUGAACAACAGCGGGGUGGAGUAUGAAGCAGCAACCGACCACAGUGGUGGAGUCGGAAGCUUAAGUCCAUGCUGAUACUAUAACUCCUCAACCCAUGCUUUGCGGAGAAUAAGGGGUACAAAGACUUCAAGGACAAGGACCUGAGCGAGAUCUACAUUCGCUGCUGUUAGCUACUCGGAGACAGCUACGAUGGAGACAAGUACAUCGUCACUCCCACUAAAUUAUGCAAAAUGGGAUUCAACCUGUACGAGUGUGCUAGAAGACAACAGUGAUGCUAUUUUGAUCGACGUCGAGAGCAGUGGCUCGAGGGACGAGGCCAAACAAACAAAUGCUAGGGUACACAAGCAGUAGUAAACGAAAAUCUUCAGACGGACAACGAAGAGGCUGGAAAAAAAAAGUCUGCCCGUGAACUAUUUUUCUUAGUUGACCGUGCCAUGAGUGCCGCGGAGGAAGUGGCAGCGAAGAUUAACAUGAUACUGGCCACAAGCAAAAGUGCUGGCGUUUCCUUUAUUGAAGAGCUGUUGGAGACAUGAUGGCUCGAAUGGAGAACUCCCAUGUACUUUUUUGCCUGCGCACUUCUUGCACAGAAGUGUUACCGGGACAUGUUGGCUGUCAUGAAGGACGUGGAUGAGAAAUUUGAGUGGAUCGAGUGAAUAUUUAACAAUCGAGGAAAGUAAUUAUGCUGGUUGUUUAUUUUUUCUGUUCUAUUAAGUAAUGGUGAAAACUGUCUUCUUUUUUCUGUACUAUCGUCUCAGCAUUGUAAUUUAUGUGUUUUACUUUUUUCCAUGGUAGUCUAAACGUACUCAA